Molecule: ribosomal RNA, 119 nt
Filed under: Pteropus alecto (black flying fox)
Lineage: Eukaryota; Metazoa; Chordata; Mammalia; Chiroptera; Pteropodidae
Source: RNAcentral
GUCUACGGCCAUGCCACCCUGAACAAGCCCAAUCCUGUCUGAUCUCAGAAGCUAAGCAGGGUCAGGCCUGGUUAUUACCUGGAUGGGAGACCACCUAGGGAGACCAGGUGCUGUAGGCA